AUUCCAGCUCCAAUAGCGUAUAUUAAAGUUGUUGCAGUUAAAAAGCUCGUAGUUGAACUUCAGGCGGGGCUGGGUGGUCCGCUUUACAGUGUGUACUGUCUGGCCCUGUCUUACUUCUUGGUGAGCCAGCGUGGCCUUUAUUGGUUGCGUUGGGGAACCAGGACUUUUACCUUGAGAAAAUUAGAGUGUUCAAAGCAGGCCUUUGCCUGAAUACAUUAGCAUGGAAUAAUAAAAUAGGACGUGUGGUUCUAUUUUGUUGGUUUCUAGGAUCGCCGUAAUGAUUAAUAGGGAUAGUUGGGGGCAUUGGUAUUGAGCCGUCAGAGGUGAAAUUCUUGGAUUGGCUCAAGACCAACUAUUGCGAAAGCAUUUGCCAAGGAUGUUUUCAUCA
Molecule: ribosomal RNA, 388 nt
Filed under: Nia sp.
Lineage: Eukaryota; Fungi; Basidiomycota; Agaricomycetes; Agaricales; Niaceae
Description: partial small subunit ribosomal RNA
Rfam family: Eukaryotic small subunit ribosomal RNA
Source: RNAcentral